GAUGAAGAACGCAGCGAAAUGCGAUACGUAAUGUGAAUUGCAGAAUUCAGUGAAUCAUCGCGUCUUUGAACGCACAUUGCGCCCCCUGGUAUUCCGGGGGGCAUGCCUGUCCGAGCGUCAUUGCUGCCCUCAAGCACGGCUUGUGUGUUGGGCCUCCGUCCUCCUCCCGGGGGACGGGCCCGAAAGGCAGCGGCGGCACCGCGUCCGGUCCUCGAGCGUAUGGGGCUUCGUCACCCGCUCUUGUAGGCCCGGCCGGCGCUUGCCGACACAUCAAUCUUUUUUCCAGGUUGACCUCGGAUCAGGUAGGGAUACCCGCUGAACUUAAGCAUAUCAAUAAGCGGAGGA
Molecule: unclassified non-coding RNA, 345 nt
Filed under: soil metagenome
Description: partial contains 5.8S ribosomal RNA, internal transcribed spacer 2, and large subunit ribosomal RNA
Rfam family: 5.8S ribosomal RNA (bases 1-120)
Source: RNAcentral